GCAUAUCUCAACUGAUGGAGAGAAUAUCUCAAUUUGUGGCAAAGACUCUGAUGACCUAAAGUUAGAUCGAGGUUCACCAAAUCAAUGGCUGGAGGUUCGCGUGACCCACGUGCAGAAAAACGGGUCAAAACGACUCGGUUCAAUAGAGAAGACAAAGCAAACGACAUGUCGUUCGCUACCCUUUAGCGCAGAAAACAACUUGUCAUUUUGACAAGUCCCACGGCACAGUAAGGGAAAAACGACAUGUCGU
Molecule: long non-coding RNA, 250 nt
Organism: Humulus lupulus (European hop)
Lineage: Eukaryota; Viridiplantae; Streptophyta; Magnoliopsida; Rosales; Cannabaceae
Exons: 3
Source: RefSeq, a predicted model, not a curated record